Molecule: long non-coding RNA, 654 nt
Filed under: Gallus gallus (chicken)
Lineage: Eukaryota; Metazoa; Chordata; Aves; Galliformes; Phasianidae
Description: lncRNA (ENSGALG00010030050.1)
Source: RNAcentral
UUGAUGCCCUAGAAGCACGGUGCGGAGCACAUCCUGGGAUCAAGGUGCCACGGACUGGAAAAUGCUGCUGUGGCGGAGUUCCUGUGUGAAGACAAAACUCCCAGUCGCCCAGAAAUGUGGAGGCAGAAGAGCAGUGACAAGGUAUCUACAUGUCUAUCUGUGUAUGUGCACAGCAGGCCCAGCUGCCCCUGCUUCCUCCCUCCACGGGAUCUGCUCCUGCUGCUGCUGCUGCUGGAGUCUCCUCUGGCCACGGUGGUGUGGGGCGAGUUCUUUUGUCAAACAGGAUCUACCGUUUGUCAACCCCUUGUGACCGGGCCUGAUCCCCUGGUUGACCUUUAAUGAAUCGCAACAUUAUGCAUCCCAUAACCUACCCUGGCACCGAGGCAUUGUGAUCAACUUAGGAAAUGAACGGACGAAGAAUAGCUUUGUUUGCAUUCUGGUAACUGCUGAGGCUUUGGCUGACGACAGCUUUCAGCUGCACCUGAACUAGGCUGGAUUUGUCUCCUGCUCUCCAUAGGUGUAUGGGAACUGUAUAAUCACAGCCUGACCCCCUGUUUGACUACCUGAGGCGAGUGCUGAGUCAGCUGCAGGGGCACAGGUGAUGGCAGUUUCACCUGAGUGACCGUAAGGGGUGGACCCUGGCUGCAGCCCUGC